AUGGGACGCUGGACCUCGGGGAGCCCCAUCCCAGGCCCGCGCCCAAAUUCUUGGGCAGGGGAGGAUAGAUCGACGAUGGCGCAUCACAUAAGGGAAUGGGAGAUCGAGGAGAAGGGAGACGGGGGUGGGUGGUGGCUUGCAGCAUGGGGCGGGCACAUCCAACGAGGGUGGUGUUCUGUGGAUCUGGUGCCCCCUCUCCUUUGGCGACCUCCUCCUUCUCAUCUGCUGCCGAUGGCUGUGAGUUCACGGCUGCUCCGGAGCUCCAACGAGCCAAGAGUAGCAAUGGAUUGUACAGAAAAUAGCAUACUAAAUGUUCUUGAUGAGCUGAUCAUGGACCUCGGCAAAAUUGACAAUGCUAUCGACACUCUUUGCGACGCUGUAUAA
RNAcentral lists this ribosomal RNA (384 nucleotides) under Triticum aestivum (bread wheat). RNAcentral's name for it is "partial small subunit ribosomal RNA". The record is from RNAcentral. Lineage: Eukaryota; Viridiplantae; Streptophyta; Magnoliopsida; Poales; Poaceae.